RNAcentral lists this ribosomal RNA (478 nucleotides) under uncultured bacterium. Its description in RNAcentral is "partial 16S ribosomal RNA". It matches the Rfam family "Bacterial small subunit ribosomal RNA", at positions 29 to 523 of the family's 1533-position model. The record is from RNAcentral.
AACAAACGCUGGCGGCGUGCCUAAUACAUGCAAGUCGAACGGGGAAAGCUUUCGGGUGAGUACUAGUGGCGCACGGGUGAGGAACGCGUGGAUAAUCUGCCUUAGAGUGGGGGAUAACUAGUCGAAAGAUUAGCUAAUACCGCAUAAGACCACAGGAACUGAGGUUCUAGAGGUCAAAGGUUUUUCGCUCUAAGAUGAGUCCGCGUAAGAUUAGCUAGUUGGUGAGGCAACGGCUCACCAAGGCGACGAUCUUUAACUGGUCUGAGAGGAUGAUCAGUCACACUGGAACUGAGACACGGUCCAGACUCCUACGGGAGGCAGCAGUAGGGAAUAUUGCACAAUGGAGGAAACUCUGAUGCAGCGACGCCGCGUGAGUGAUGAAGGCCUUCGGGUCGUAAAGCUCUGUCGCAGGGGAAUAACACAAUGAAGGUACCCUGUAAGAAAGGAUCGGCUAACUUCGUGCCAGCAGCCGCAGUAA